CAGUCCAUCACAGAAGAGAGAACCGCGUUGCCAACUGCAGCAUCAGAGCUAGAGGAUUCAACCAAGGCAUAGUGUCUAAAGAAGCUGUAGCAGGUACUCCAGGACAAGUGGAGGUGGGCAGAUUCAGGAAGCAGCAUUGUGGAGUUCACACCUGUGGCCAAAUCUUGUCCACUUUUGAAGAGCUGAAAGAAACCAGUCAACUUAAAGCUCUUUGGCCCGUACCAAAUGUGGUGCUGUAUAAAAAGGGGGAAGCAACUUCUCUAGACUGCAUCUGUGGGGGAAAAGAACAGACAAAGCAAUUCUUUUUUUUUUUAACCUAAAUUUAAUGUAGGAUUAAGAUUUGCUACAUAUGAACCAGUAUUAAAACUUUUAUGUUAAAUGUAGUUUGAACAAAGCCAGUUAACACUGUUUUUUGUGUAGGGGCAUCUAACUUUAAGUAUAUUAGUAAUUUAUAAAAUUCAGCAUUGGCUCCCAGGGCUUUGCCUGAUGUAAAUGUAAAAGAUAACUUAGUAAGAGGAAGUAGAGUAAAGGAAACCCCACUCACUAUUCCUCUAAUCUGCAAGGUACUGCAGGGGGAAGAAAUUGGGAAAAGGAGCAAAGAUAGAAAGAACCCUUAGAUAAAGUUAAAAUAUUAAGUAUCUGUAAAAUUAAUAUAUAUAGUUUUGUUGUUGCACAUUUGCAUUGGCCGGAAUGCCAGCCACAGAAGUUGGUUUAAAUUCUUGAUUGUUAAUAAAUGUAUUUUUAGUUUAACUAAUUGUUGAUUGUGUAUCAAUAUCCAAAGAUAAGUAUUCUGGACAGAUCCUUGGCCAUGAUAAAAGAAAGCAGCAAUGUAUGCUUUAUACAGGAAUUUUGUAAAGGAAAUAUUAAAGCCUUACUUUAUAAAAAUAAGAAUAAAAAUAAAAAAUGUAGCAGCCUUUGCUACCCACAGCAUAACAGUCAUGAUUAUUAUUAUUGAUCUAAAAUUCACCAUUUUAGUAAAAGUGUCUAAAGUAAUUCCUAAUACU
This is a long non-coding RNA of Gopherus evgoodei (Goodes thornscrub tortoise), 1004 nucleotides long. RefSeq lists it as uncharacterized. The record is from RefSeq and is a predicted model, not a curated record. NCBI's taxonomy places the organism in Eukaryota, Metazoa, Chordata, Testudines, Testudinidae. The transcript has 3 exons.